GAAGCGGCAACAGCUCAAAUUUGAAAUCUGACCCUUUAGGGUCCGAGUUGUAAUUUGCAGAGGGUGUUUCGGGCACGGUGCCGGUUUAAGUCCUUUGGAACAGGGUGUCAUAGAGGGUGAGAACCCCGUAUGUGACCGGUCGCCAAACCCAUGUGAAACCCCUUCGACGAGUCGAGUUGUUUGGGAAUGCAGCUCAAAAUGGGUGGUAAAUUUCAUCUAAAGCUAAAUAUUGGCCAGAGACCGAUAGCGCACAAGUAGAGUGAUCGAAAGAUGAAAAGCACUUUGGAAAGAGAGUCAAACAGCACGUGAAAUUGUUGAAAGGGAAGCGCUUGCGACCAGACCUGCUCGCGGGUGAUCAGCGGUGCUUUUCGCGCCGUGCACUCAUCCGCGAUCAGGCCAGCAUCGGUUCAGGCGGCCGGACAAAGACUCGGAGAAUGUAGCUCCCUCCGGGGAGUGUUAUAUCUCCUUGUGCAAUACGGCCAGCCGGGACCGAGGACCGCGCU
RNAcentral lists this ribosomal RNA (503 nucleotides) under Psora saviczii. Its description in RNAcentral is "LSU rRNA". It matches the Rfam family "Eukaryotic large subunit ribosomal RNA", at positions 95 to 601 of the family's 3401-position model. The record is from RNAcentral. Lineage: Eukaryota; Fungi; Ascomycota; Lecanoromycetes; Lecanorales; Psoraceae.